AGAGUUUGAUCCUGGCUCAGAACGAACGCUGGCGGCGUGGAUUAGGCAUGCAAGUCGGACGAGAAUCCAUCGAUUCAAGUUUUCGGACGAGAAUUGAUGGUGGAAAGUGGCGAAAGGGUGAGUAACGCGUGGGUAAUUUGCCCUUAAGUCGGGGAUAGCUUCUGGAAACGGGAGGUAAUACCGGAUGUGGUCGGGAGUCGCAUGGCUCCUUGUCUAAAGGUGGGGAUUCUUCGGAACCUGCCGCUUAAGGAUGAACCCGCGUCCCAUCAGCUUGUUGGUAGGGUAACGGCCUACCAAGGCUCACGGGUAGCUGGUCUGAGAGGAUGGUCAGCCACACUGGGACUGAGACACUGCCCAGACUCCUACGGGAGGCUGCAGUCGAGAAUCAUUCGCAAUGCGCGAAAGCGUGACGAUGCGACGCCGCGUGUAGGAUGACGGCCUUCGGGUUGUAAACUACUGUCAGGAGGGAGUAAUGUUCGCGGGGCUAAUACCCUCGCGAAGUGAUAGUACCUCCAGAGGAAGCCACGGCUAACUCUGUGCCAGCAGCCGCGGUAAUACAGAGGUGGCGAGCGUUGUUCGGAUUUACUGGGCGUAAAGGGUGCGUAGGCGGUUUUGUGUGUCAGAUGUGAAAGCUCACUGCUCAACGGUGGAAAUGCAUCUGAAACUGCAGGACUAGAGUACGGGAGAGGAGAGCGGAAUUCACGGUGUAGCGGUGAAAUGCGUAGAUAUCGUGAGGAACGCCGGUGGCGAAGGCGGCUCUCUGGAACGUUACUGACGCUGAGGCACGAAAGUUGGGGUAGCAAACAGGAUUAGAUACCCUGGUAGUCCCAACCGUAAACGUUGUGCACUUGGUGUGGGAAGGUUUGUCCCUUUCUGUGCCGGAGUUAACGCAUUAAGUGCACCGCCUGGGGAGAACGGUCGCAAGGCUAAAACUCAAAGGAAUUGACGGGGGCCCGCACAAGCGGUGGAGCAUGUGGCUUAAUUCGAUGCAACGCGAAGAACCUUACCCAGGCUUGACAUGGAGACCCUUCGGGGGUGGGAAUGAAAGUUCCCUUUACUCACACAGGUGCUGCAUGGCUGUCGUCAGCUCGUGCCGUGAGGUGUUGGGUUAAGUCCCGCAACGAGCGCAACCCUUGUGUUUAGUUGCCAGCAGGUAAUGCUGGGCACUCUAGACAGACUGCCCGUGACAAGCGGGAGGAAGGUGGGGAUGACGUCAAGUCAGUAUGGUCCUUAUGCCUGGGGCUGCACACGUGCUACAAUGGUCGGUACAGAAGGAAGCAAAACCGCGAGGUCGAGCAAAUCCCCAAAACCGGCCCCAGUUCGGAUUGGAGUCUGCAACUCGACUCCAUGAAGCCGGAAUCGCUAGUAAAGGCGUAUCAGCUACGACGCCUUGAAUACGUUCCCGGGCCUUGUACACACCGCCCGUCACAUCACGAAAGCCGACUGCACCCGAAGUCGCUGCUCCAACCCGCAAGGGAGGAA
Molecule: ribosomal RNA, 1482 nt
Filed under: metagenome
Description: bacterial SSU rRNA
Rfam family: Bacterial small subunit ribosomal RNA
Source: RNAcentral